RNAcentral lists this ribosomal RNA (682 nucleotides) under uncultured bacterium. RNAcentral's name for it is "bacterial SSU rRNA". It matches the Rfam family "Bacterial small subunit ribosomal RNA", at positions 96 to 797 of the family's 1533-position model. The record is from RNAcentral.
GGCGGUACGGGUGAGUAACGCGUGGAAAACCUGCCGUAUACCGGGGGAUAACACUUAGAAAUAGGUGCUAAUACCGCAUAAGCGCACAGCUUCGCAUGAAGCAGUGUGAAAAACUCCGGUGGUAUAUGAUGGUUCCGCGUCUGAUUAGCUAGUUGGCGGGGUAACGGCCCACCAAGGCAGCGAUCAGUAGCCGGCCUGAGAGGGUGAACGGCCACAUUGGGACUGAGACACGGCCCAAACUCCUACGGGAGGCAGCAGUGGGGAAUAUUGCACAAUGGGGGAAACCCUGAUGCAGCGACGCCGCGUGAGUGAAGAAGUAUUUCGGUACGUAAAGCUCUAUCAGCAGGGAAGAAAAUGACGGUACCUGACUAAGAAGCCCCGGCUAACUACGUGCCAGCAGCCGCGGUAAUACGGAGGAUGCGAGCGUUAUCCGGAUUUAUUGGGUUUAAAGGGUGCGUAGGCGGGAUGCCAAGUCAGCGGUAAAAAUGCGGUGCUCAACGCCGUCGAGCCGUUGAAACUGGCGUUCUUGAGUGGGCGAGAAGUAUGCGGAAUGCGUGGUGUAGCGGUGAAAUGCAUAGAUAUCACGCAGAACUCCGAUUGCGAAGGCAGCAUACCGGCGCCCUACUGACGCUGAGGCACGAAAGCGUGGGUAUCGAACAGGAUUAGAUACCCUGGUAGUCCA